This 1005-nucleotide unclassified non-coding RNA is filed under the name Neodiprion pinetum (white pine sawfly). RNAcentral's name for it is "protein THEM6-like, transcript variant X1". The record is from RNAcentral. Lineage: Eukaryota; Metazoa; Arthropoda; Insecta; Hymenoptera; Diprionidae.
UUGAGCAACCGUUACGUGGUGAACAUCUAGAACUUGGACGUAGAAAACUGCGGUGCCGUCUGGUGGAUAGAAAAUAAUUUUCCGUAGCCGCAAGAGAUAUUCACAAUGUUCUGCUACUGCACCGUAGCCAUAGUUGCAAUUCUGUAUAUGCUUUUUGACGUCAAUUACUUUCUGAGAAUAGCGUUCACUCUCAGUUGGGGAAGGCUUUUUCAAAAAAAGAAGAAAUUGUUCGAAGAGACGACUAUUCACGGCAUAUGCACGACCCAGGAUGUAGACCUCUUCUUCAGAAACAUGAAUAUCGCAAGGUACGUCAGAGAACUGGACUUCGCCCGGUUCCACUACUACGACAGGUCUGGAGUAUACGGUGCGAUCCAUGCCAAAGGCGGAAGCGCGGUUCAAAGUGCCGCAUCUGUACGUUACAGAAGAGCACUUCCAAUAUUUACUCCGUACAAGGUCACCACAAAGUUAAUUUACUGGGACGAUAAGAAUUUCUACCUAGAGCAGCAGUUGAUCAGUUUGCCCGACAAUUUCAUCCGCACGAUCGUUUUAAGCAAGCAAAGUGUAACCGGUCUUAAAAUCCCAGUAUCGGAAAUCAUCGCCAAAGUCGAAGAGGGAGCAAAGAGGCCGGAACUAUCGAAAGAUUUAAGACUGUGGCUGGAAUCGAUGGAGGAAUCCUCGCAAAAAUUGAAGAAACAGAAUUAACGGAUGUAAGAACAUCGUUGAUAAGUAUUUAUUCGGAAGGUGCGUCGAUCGUCGCAGUUUGAUCGUCAGAUGAGUCUACCGAUCUACGUACGCUACUUAUCGUGUGAAAAAUAACAUAUGGACCAAUUUAUUCGUCGCGUGGUAAUGCUGUUCAAUGUCAAGGGUAUACUUUACUUCUACUCGUUAAAGUUUUAUUAUUGCAUUUGUUAGAUAUAUAUAUUCGGUUGUUGGAUUUGUACGUUUUUGUUACAUUUGUAUUUCUGUUUUAAAAAAAACUUUGAAUGACUUAAAAACGGAUUGUUA